ACAACUCUAAGUGGUGGAUCACUCGGCUCGUGGGU
Molecule: ribosomal RNA, 35 nt
Filed under: Neopycnodonte cochlear (deepsea oyster)
Lineage: Eukaryota; Metazoa; Mollusca; Bivalvia; Ostreida; Gryphaeidae
Description: partial 5.8S rRNA
Source: RNAcentral